Molecule: ribosomal RNA, 450 nt
Filed under: uncultured Glomeromycotina
Lineage: Eukaryota; Fungi; Glomeromycota
Description: SSU rRNA
Rfam family: Eukaryotic small subunit ribosomal RNA
Source: RNAcentral
AGCAGCCGCGGUAAUUCCAGCUCCAAUAGCGUAUAUUAAAGUUGUUGCAGUUAAAAAGCUCGUAGUUGAAUUUUGGGGUCAGUAGGUUGGUCAUGCCACUGGUAUGUACUGGUCUCACUGAUUCCUCCUUCCUGAUGAACUGUAAUGCCAUUAAUUUGGUGUUGCAGGGAAUCUGGACUGUUACUUUGAAAAAAUUAGAGUGUUUAAAGCAGGCUAACGCCUGAAUACAUUAGCAUGGAAUAAUGAAAUAGGACGUUCGAUCCUAUUUUGUUGGUUUCUAGGAUUGACGUAAUGAUUAAUAGGGAUAGUUGGGGGCAUUAGUAUUCAAUUGUCAGAGGUGAAAUUCUUGGAUUUAUUGAAGACUAACUACUGCGAAAGCAUUUGCCAAGGAUGUUUUCAUUAAUCAAGAACGAAAGUUAGGGGAUCGAAGACGAUCGGAUAUCGUCGUAG